RNAcentral lists this ribosomal RNA (1433 nucleotides) under Microbacterium sp. Its description in RNAcentral is "bacterial SSU rRNA". It matches the Rfam family "Bacterial small subunit ribosomal RNA". Lineage: Bacteria; Bacillati; Actinomycetota; Actinomycetes; Micrococcales; Microbacteriaceae. The record is from RNAcentral.
CGUGAGCGGAGCGGGAUACGGAACAGUCUGACGGUGAAGCCCAGCUUGCUGGGUGGAUCAGUGGCGAACGGGUGAGUAACACGUGAGCAACCUGCCCCUGACUCUGGGAUAAGCGCUGGAAACGGCGUCUAAUACUGGAUAUGUGACGUGACCGCAUGGUCUGCGUUUGGAAAGAUUUUUCGGUUGGGGAUGGGCUCGCGGCCUAUCAGCUUGUUGGUGAGGUAAUGGCUCACCAAGGCGUCGACGGGUAGCCGGCCUGAGAGGGUGACCGGCCACACUGGGACUGAGACACGGCCCAGACUCCUACGGGAGGCAGCAGUGGGGAAUAUUGCACAAUGGGCGCAAGCCUGAUGCAGCAACGCCGCGUGAGGGAUGACGGCCUUCGGGUUGUAAACCUCUUUUAGCAGGGAAGAAGCGAAAGUGACGGUACCUGCAGAAAAAGCGCCGGCUAACUACGUGCCAGCAGCCGCGGUAAUACGUAGGGCGCAAGCGUUAUCCGGAAUUAUUGGGCGUAAAGAGCUCGUAGGCGGUUUGUCGCGUCUGCUGUGAAAUCCCGAGGCUCAACCUCGGGCCUGCAGUGGGUACGGGCAGACUAGAGUGCGGUAGGGGAGAUUGGAAUUCCUGGUGUAGCGGUGGAAUGCGCAGAUAUCAGGAGGAACACCGAUGGCGAAGGCAGAUCUCUGGGCCGUAACUGACGCUGAGGAGCGAAAGGGUGGGGAGCAAACAGGCUUAGAUACCCUGGUAGUCCACCCCGUAAACGUUGGGAACUAGUUGUGGGGUCCAUUCCACGGAUUCCGUGACGCAGCUAACGCAUUAAGUUCCCCGCCUGGGGAGUACGGCCGCAAGGCUAAAACUCAAAGGAAUUGACGGGGACCCGCACAAGCGGCGGAGCAUGCGGAUUAAUUCGAUGCAACGCGAAGAACCUUACCAAGGCUUGACAUAUACGAGAACGGGCCAGAAAUGGUCAACUCUUUGGACACUCGUAAACAGGUGGGUGCAUGGUUGUCGUCAGCUCGUGUCGUGAGAUGUUGGGUUAAGUCCCGCAACGAGCGCAACCCUCGUUCUAUGUUGCCAGCACGUAAUGGUGGGAACUCAUGGGAUACUGCCGGGGUCAACUCGGAGGAAGGUGGGGAUGACGUCAAAUCAUCAUGCCCCUUAUGUCUUGGGCUUCACGCAUGCUACAAUGGCCGGUACAAAGGGCUGCAAUACCGUGAGGUGGAGCGAAUCCCAAAAAGCCGGUCCCAGUUCGGAUUGAGGUCUGCAACUCGACCUCAUGAAGUCGGAGUCGCUAGUAAUCGCAGAUCAGCAACGCUGCGGUGAAUACGUUCCCGGGUCUUGUACACACCGCCCGUCAAGUCAUGAAAGUCGGUAACACCUGAAGCCGGUGGCCUAACCUUUUUGUAGAGAGAACACCAGUGAUUAGGUAGAAUGUU